This is a non-coding RNA of Schizosaccharomyces pombe (fission yeast), 287 nucleotides long. Lineage: Eukaryota; Fungi; Ascomycota; Schizosaccharomycetes; Schizosaccharomycetales; Schizosaccharomycetaceae. The record is from the annotation of a GenBank genome assembly.
GAGAGGUACGUUGUCGGUAAGAUUAUUUUUGAAUGGCAAAUAGUGAAACCUCGCUGAUUUUAAGGUGGUAUUUUAACGAAAGCGGGUAACACAAGGUUUGUCACCUUGAAGGAACUAUCCCCCCGGCACUGGAAUAAGCACAGCAUGGGCGAAACCCAAAGCUCAGUAUAGCCGAAAGUCGGUGCACACCCGACAUCUAAGCCAUCCGUAGUUUUUGUAAGAGAGAUAGAUUAUAAAAUGUAGAAGAAAAGAAAGUAAAGAUGUGUUGGUAAAGCUCAAGAAAAGCA